RNAcentral lists this ribosomal RNA (504 nucleotides) under uncultured Sphingobacteriales bacterium. Its description in RNAcentral is "bacterial SSU rRNA". It matches the Rfam family "Bacterial small subunit ribosomal RNA", at positions 903 to 1382 of the family's 1533-position model. Lineage: Bacteria; Pseudomonadati; Bacteroidota; Sphingobacteriia; Sphingobacteriales. The record is from RNAcentral.
CGCCUUGCCAGCCCGCUCAGAACUCAAAGGAAUUGACGGGGGCCCGCACAAGCGGUGGAGCAUGUGGUUUAAUUCGAUGAUACGCGAGGAACCUUACCUGGGCUCGAACGUAAGAUGACUGUAGGUGAAAGCUUACAUCUCUUCGGAGCAUUUUACGAGGUGCUGCAUGGUUGUCGUCAGCUCGUGCCGUGAGGUGUCGGGUUAAGUCCCAUAACGAGCGCAACCCCUACCUUUAGUUGCCAUCAGGUUAAGCUGGGGACUCUAAAGGAACUGCCUACGCAAGUAGUGAGGAAGGCGGGGAUGACGUCAAAUCAGCACGGCCCUUACGUCCAGGGCUACACACGUGCUACAAUGGCCGAUACAGAGGGCAGCUACCUGGUGACAGGAUGCAAAUCUCCAAAGUCGGUCUCAGUUCGGAUCGGAGUCUGCAACCCGACUCCGUGAAGUUGGAUUCGCUAGUAAUCGCGCAUCAGCCAUGGCGCGGUGAAUACGUUCCCGGGCCUU